CUCGGAGCCACGGGCCACGGUCAUCUAUCAUUGUCUGGCACCCUGCUCCACGUAAGCACGCAGCCAGGCGCUUGAGAUGGGCUGCUCUGUUUAGCUUUGGAUGUGUAAGUAAAGACCUCUCUGCGCUCAAGAGAAAUGGAAGGUUGGUGAUUUUUUUCUGGAGCAUUAGAAAAAUCUGAAAGGCCGCAGAAGUCCCUUCUGUAACACAAAACUCUAAUCCACAAAUCCUCGAUAACUGCUCUCCAAUAAUAAUUUUAAAAAGCAAGUGUCGCAAGGCACUUAAGAUGAUACGGCCCCACCAGAAACGCGUCUUUAACAACUGCACUCUUUCUCUUGGCUUUCUUGAGAACUGUUCUUUCCCCUCCUUUGGGCCAAGUCAAUCUGCCCUUUAUGGGAAAUUGAGUGUUGGCUUGGGUGAGGCAAAAACACACAUUCUUCCCUUGGAAGAACAGACUUGCAUUCCUGAGAGUAAAAUAAAUUAAGCCCAGUUUCUCUGUCCAUUAAUUAUGUGGAAUAAACAACCUUCUCCUGGUCUCCAAGAAGCACAGGAGACCGGCACAAAUUUCCUUCCAGACCCAGGGGGUUGGGAGUUGGGGGGUGGGAGGGGAAUCGCUUGCCCAUCCAAGAGGACGCCUGUGGUCUGGGAGGAUUCGGAGGAUUGCGAGGAGCCAAGCUGUACCACCAGAUGUUUGUAAGAAAUCCACUAAUGGAGACAAUUCCAUGUUCAACAGGGAUCCCUUAGGAUGCGCCAGUUCUACCCUGGACUGGGGACACAAAGAUGAGACUUAUAAACCAUUACCUUCCAAAGAGUCGCGACUGGAUGCAUUAAAAAAGGAGAAACCCCAAGAAGUCCGUGGAAAAAUAAACUCCAUCUCAAAGGGCAGUGGUAGCAAAGGACGGCUUGGUCUGAAGCACACCCAGAUGGACGCUGAAGCGUAGAGUGGCAUUUCACCCCGCUGCAGCGCCGCCUCUGCUGGCCCCUUCCAUUCUGUGGCUCCUUCUCUGUCUGUCCGUCUGUCUCUCUCUUCAUCACGGCCUCUUCAUCGAGAGUCUCCUGGGUACUAACCGGUGCUCCCAUGUUCUCACCCUCGAUCUCCUUGUCCCUUAUCCAAAGUGAGUGAGGAAUAAGGACUUUGGGCUGGGGGGUGGCUUCGUGGGCAGACCAUUUGUGGUGCCAGCUAGACCUGAGUGCAGAGUCCCAAGCACUCCCACAUAAAAGCAUGUCUAUAACUCCAUGUUGUAAAUGAGGUUUUAGAGCUUCCACACAUUUGUGGCUAGUAGCGUAUUCUUUUCUGUUAGAUGUUCUUUAUUCCUUCUAUGGAAUUGGUAGGUUUUUUUUAAUUGAUAUUCUAUGUUCUUUCUUUAUUAGGGGAAUGAGUGGUUUGUUAUGGUUUAAGAUGCAUGUUUGGGCUGGAGAGAUGCAUCCGUGGUUAAGAGGACUUGCUGCUCUUCCACAAGACCUAACCAAUGUCAGUUCCCAGCAUCCAUAUCAGCAGCUCAGCUCACAGUCCCCUGUAACUUCAGCUCUAGGGGAACUCACACCGUUUUCUGGUUUCCACAGCUGCCUGUACUCAUACAAGCACAUCCACAGGGAUCCACACACUAACACAACCAUAUACACAUGCUUCAAAAUAAAAACAUUAAAAAAAAUCUGGGGGGUGGGGGUGGCAG
This is a long non-coding RNA of Peromyscus leucopus (white-footed mouse), 1671 nucleotides long. RefSeq lists it as uncharacterized. NCBI's taxonomy places the organism in Eukaryota, Metazoa, Chordata, Mammalia, Rodentia, Cricetidae. The record is from RefSeq and is a predicted model, not a curated record. The transcript has 3 exons.